CAAUGAUACAAUUUAAAGUAGUACAAAAACAGGUACAACAUUAACGUUGGGGUGUGGUUGGGAACAUGUACAGUUAGGUAACAUGGAUCGGUAUACACAGUCGCUUAUACAGUCAUUGCUCAUAUAGCCAGCCCAACAUCUGACCUGCCUUUGCUUACCAGGUGGUGGACAUAUGUAUGUGUCUUUAUGCUCUAUAGUAGUUCACACAUAUAGUUACUGAUAAUAAUUACAAGGGGCUAAUGGAUAUCCCUGCUGUUAUGGCUCUAUCUUGUAAUAUGCCGGUUGUACAGUUCUACCCAUGGGGACCAUGUUGUGUGAAACCUCUGUGCCAUUUUGGUAUCAGGUACGGCCAUUCUUUCAUAGAUGUAGAAUUGGUGUAUUUUGUCCCAUAAUUGGGUUUUGUUUGGACAAGUUGUGGAUUUCCAGUGGAGAGCCAGUAGGCUACGGGCUGCUAAGGUGAUAAUGGCACACAGCUGUUUGUGUGAGUUUCUGAAUGUCGGAGGGAACCUCAUGAGUAAGUAUGUUUCAGGUGUAUUUUGGGUAUCUGGGAUUUGGAGUGCACGGAACAUAUUGUGUACCUCUGUCCAUAAAGGCUGGAUGUUGGGGCACCUUCAACAGACAUGUAUAAGUGUACCCUCUUCUGCGGAACAUCUUCAACACAAUGGGGUUGAGUUUGGGUAUAUUUUGUGAAGCUUGUGUGGGGUUAGGUACCAUCUGUAUAGUAGCUUUCUAUGUGCUUCUAUAUGUGUAUAGCAUUUUGUCCAUUUAGAUAGGUCAUUUAGUACAUGUAUCCAUUCUUCGUCUGUGAGCUGAAUGGCACAGUCUAUUUCCCACAAUGUUUUGCAAUGCGGUGAUGUGUUAGGUGUAGUGUUUUCCCAGGCUUUAUAGCAUAGGGAAAUGGUUUUUGGUUUUGUGGGGUGUUUCCAACACCUUUCUAUUAUUGCCUUUGUUGGUGGGGACAUUUGGGUAGGGUUUGUUUGUUGGUUACUUACACAUGUGGUGAUAAUUGCCUUAAGUUGUAAGUGUGUGAAAAUAGCGUCAUUGGGAAGCUCCCAUUUGUGUUGUAUGUCGGGGAAUGGCAUCAUUCCUUGAGGUUGGAGCAGUUGGUGUAUGUGUGUUAUUCCUGCCAGCGACCAAUUCUGAAAGCGUAUGUCUGGUGAAAUAGCCCUUAAGGCUGUCAAUGGUGCCUCUGCAUGGAAUUUAUUCUUAUUCCCCACAUUUUCCAAAAAUGUCGUCCAGAAUUGGAUAGUAUGCUUUGUGGUGGGUUGAGGUCAGAUUUUAAUUACCUUAAUUUUCUCGGUGUCCACAAGUGUGCUAGUGCCGAGUUGUUGCUGAACUGAGCUUUCUCCAUGUCCACCCAUUGUAUGAUCCCUUCAGUGGUGUGUAGCAGUAUCCCCAUUGCUAAGGCUGAUGCUUUAUAAUACAGAUCUAUGUUGGGUAGCCCCACUCCGCCAUGUUUUGAGUGUUUAUAUAGUAUCGUACUUGCAAUGCGUGUUUUUUUGUGUUCCCAUAUGAACACGUUACAUAUGGUUUGUAGUGUUUUUAUGAGUGUUUUUGGGGCCUGUAGGGGGAGCAUUCUGAAUAUAUAUAUAGUAUUUUUGGUAAGAACACCAUCUUAUACGCAUUUAUUCUGCCUAACCAGGAGAUGUGUGAUUGUGACCAUUUGUGUAUUUCAUUUUUGCCUUGUUGUGGGAGUGGGAGAUAGUUUACUUUAAAUACUUCCGCUACAGAAGGUGCAAUUUUUACGCCAAGGUACGUAAGUGAGGAUGUCCUCCAAUCGAAUAGGUAUUUCUCUUUCAGUGUGGCUGCGGUGGAGGAGGGGAGUUUAAUGGGUAGUGCUUGUGUUUUGUCUUGGUUUAGGCGGUAGUGUAAUAUGUCCCUGAAUCUCGCCAAGGUCUCCAUCAGGGGGGUACUGAUUUUUGAGGGUUUUCUAGUGUUAUUAAGAUAUCAUCUGCGAAUAGUGCUAGUUUGUAUUCGUUACCUAAGAUUUUGAUGCCUUGUAUGCAGUGAUCAUUUCUUAUUUUUUGUGCUAGCGGUUCGAGGGACAAUAUGUAGAGUAGGGGAGACAGGGGACACCCCCGUUGUGUUCCGUUGGAUAUAUGGAAGGAGGUCGAGAGGAAGCCACCAUGGGCCACUUUGGCUGCUGGUGUCAUAUAUAGUGCCAUAACCCCUUUGAUAAAUUCGGCGGGGAAGCCGAAUUUUUGUAAUACUUUUUGCAUGUAAGCCCAAUUGAGUCGGUCGAAGGCCUUCUCUGCAUCAAGUGCUAGAAGGAGGCCUCCAGGUGACCCUUUCUCCAUUGUAGCAUGUAUGUUAAGAAUUUUUCAUGUGUUAUCGGAGCCCUGCCAUCCUCUGACAAACCCUGAUUGAUCGUUGUGUAUUAGUUCACUUAUUAUGGACGUGAGUCUGUUACUCAAUAUUUUCGCAUAUAGUUUGUCGUCACUAUUCAGAAGGGAGAUUGGUCUAAAGUUUUUGCAGGUGGUGGGUGGCUUGCCUGGUUUGGGUAAUGUCGAGAUGUGAGCUAACAGUAGUUCUGCUGGCAGGGCUCCUUUGUCAAGACUGUGUUGGUAUAGAUUUAGGAGGUGGGGGAGUAGUAGUUUGGAGAAGUCUUUAUAGGAGGCCAUCCGGUCCUGGGGAUUUGUUUGAUGGUUCGUUUAGUCUCCAGGUGGUUUGGCCAGUAGAGGGGCAUUGUUCAGAUAGGGUCAGUGUGAUAGGGGUAUGGUCUGAACAUGAUAUGAUACCAAUUUCUGCACUUAUCAUUCUCUCUAGUGAUGUGUUCUUUAUUAGAAAUCUGUCAAUCCUGGAGUAGCUAUUGUGUGCAGCGUUGUAGCAGGUGUAAUCUAUUUCAGCUAGGUGGGAUAUUCUCCAUGGAUCUACAUAGUUAUUUGUCGUUAGUGUUCUGCGCAUGUUAGAUGUUUGUGUGUGUCUCUGUUUUGAGGUAGCUGUGGUUACCGUUCUUGCGGCGGAGGAGUCCAUAUUGAUGUCUAGGAGAAAAUUAGUGUCGCCUCCAAGAAUUACCUCCCCAAAGCUGUACAUUGACAGGAGAGAGAAUACAUUAGUUAUAAAUACUUGUUGGUUUUCAUUAGGGCUAUAGACAUUUAUCAAUGUAUACGGUUGAUUGUUUAUGCGACAUUGUAAUAUAAGGUAUCUGCCUUUUUUGUCAUUUAUUUUGCGUAUGAAGUCAAAAACAUGUAUUAAUAUCGAUACACAUCUUUUUUUUUUUGUGGUAGCACGUGUGGUAGUCUACUGGGAACCAAGCAGAGUUAAACCUGGGUUUGGAUCCCCACUGAAAGUGAGUUUCCUGGAAAAAUGCCACAUGUGCUCCUUGUUUCUUGGCCUCUUGGAGAGCCAAUUUAUGCUUAUUAGGUGAAUUUAAGCCUUUGGUGUUCAGCGAGAGGAAUUUUAGCGGCAUGAUGCUAUUUUCCUUACUUGUUAUGGUUUGUACAACCGGCUAUAUCUGUUGGUGGGGUGGGAAGAGCACAGGUUUAUUGGGUUGUUACCUAAGCUGUGGGAAGGUGACCUGUUUGGUCACUCGUAGGGUAUUGGAGGGGAAAAAACGAUGUACAAUUGCCCGUUAGCCUCUUGGGCCUAAUGCAAGGUUUUGCAGAUGGGUAUGUGGUGGCCUACCUAGUAAGCCUUGCGUGGGGGUUGGUGGUUUUUCUAUGCGAGGUGUGAUAAACAAUGUCCACUUGUAUAUUAGGUGAAAAAAAAAAAAAAAGCAAGUAAAAAGUUAUAAGCAGCAGUUAUACAGUUAGCAGUGGCCUAGCGCCGACCAUGGGCUUAGCAUUUAUUUAUUUAUUUUUUUGCGUCAGAGAUAUACAUUAAAUCAACACAUUCUUAUGCACAUUUAACCUGUUAAACAUGAAGCCAGAUUAGUUAGUAAAGUUACGUGUCCUUGUGCGCAAUUGGAGAGGGCUUAGGGAUGAGGAUUUCUUCGACUUUGAGGGGUUGCCUUAUUCCAUAGGACUUGUUGCCAGUCUCUCGCCACUUUACGUGGUGGUGGCAUGUCCGAACUUUGUGGGUCAGUUGUUGGGAUAGGGACAUUCCAGUCUUCUAGAAUUUUUCUUCCUUCUUCCGGUGUUAGGAUUGCUCGGUCAAUUCCAUUUCUCUUGAUGAUUAGUUUGGUAGGGAAUCCCCACUUAUACAAUAUAUUGUCGUUUCGGAGAGCCAUUGUUAUAGGUGCGAAUGAUCUUCUUUUAAACAUGGUGGCCGCUGAUAAGUCUAUGAAUAAUUUAAUGUCUGUAUAUCCUUCAGGAAGGGGUGUAUUGAGUCUAGAAGCCUGCAUGAUUUGGUCUUUGACCGUGAAGUAGUGGAUUCUAGUGAUGACAUCUCGGGGAUAUCUCGGCUUGGGCAAUCUGUGUGAUCUGUCAAGUCGGAGAUCGGCCUCUGUUAAUGUUGGAAUUAUAGAUUUAAACAGCUUUUGUACAAAUUGUGGGAGGUCUUGUGGACCCACAUUUUCGGGUAUUCCACGGAUCCUGAUAUUGUUUCUUCUAUCUUGGUCCUCAUUAUCUGCAAUUUUCCCCUCCAAGUAUCUGACCUUGUUUUCCAGUGCUACAUGCGCCUCUGUGUGCUUCUAGUAAUACCUAGUAAUUUUUCUUCCAAGUGUGCUGUCCUGUCCCCCAAUGCCUGGAUUUUAGUGGAUUGGAGGGGUAUGGGCCUGCCGAUCGUUCUUGAGUCCCGGCUUCUGACAUACAUGCUGGCCGCAAGAUUCAUUCUUUUCACGCUAAGUUCCCUCUCAAACCUGGUCCUGCCCACCCAGUGAGUGGUCUUAACGUGGGGGAUACUGUCACGGUGCCGCGGGUUUCUGUCAGCGUGACCGCACUGAAAAAGAGCGGUCACGCCAACAGAAAUAACAAACACUCAUCUUACCUGUGGCAGAUUAAAACCCGACCUCCUUCCAUCUCAGUCCCCGCUGUGUGCGGAGUUAGCAGAGAUGCCUGCCGCUGCGGUUCUGUUUCUAAUAAAGAAAUAUCCUUUGCCCAUAUCAAAGAUAUGCAUGCACAUUUUGGGGUCAGAGGUCACAUUUAGCCAAUUACAGCUCUAGGAGGGUUAUUUAACCCCAAAUUACCAUUUGAUCAGUGCCCUGUCGUGGUUUCCCUUAGCUGGUUAUACGAGAGAGUGUUCCUUAUCUUUGUAUUUCUGGUAUUUGACUUUGGCUUCGUUUGACUCCCCUGAUUUCUGGUAUCCUUGACUUUUGUCUUUCCCUCAUCGUGUUUCAUUCUGUAUCCCUGACCUCGGUAAGUAUUUUGACUAUUCUUGGUUACAUUCAGUCCGGCCAUUCUAAGGUCCGUUUAUAUAUUAUCCUUAGUCCUAGGUUUGAUACUAUUUCUGCGUGCUAGAUCAACAGUAAUCCUAAGAGUGAGCACUUCUCCUUUGCUGAGAUAAUCCAUCUAUCUCACAGGUGUGGCAUAUUAAGAUGCUGAUUAGACAGAAUUAAUAUUGCACAGAAUAUUGCCACUCUAAAAUGUGCAGUUUUACUGUAUUCGAGGAAAUCAGGGAGGGGGGUCGAAAACCAGUCAGUAUCUUUUGUGACCACAAUUUGCCUCACGCAGUGCAACACAUCUCCUUCGAAUAGAGUUGAUCAGGUUGUUGACUGUGGCCUGGAAUGUUGGUCCACUCCUCUUUAAUGACUGUGCGAAGUUGCUGGACAUUGGCAGGACCUGGAACACUCUGUCGUAUAUGCCGAUCCAGAGCAUCUCAAACAAGCUCAAUGGGUGACAUGUCCAUGAGUAUUCUGGCCAUGCAAGAACUGGGAUGCUUUCAUCUUCCAGGAAUUGUGUACAGAUCCUUGCAACAUGGGGCCGUGUAUUAUCAUGCUGCAACAUGAGGUGAUGGUUGUGGAUAAAUGGCACAACAGUGGGCCUCAGGAUCUCCUCAAGUUACCUCAAAAUGCCAUCAAUAAAAUGCUACAAAGAAAAAAGGAAAGGUAGCGGCACUAAAAACCAAAUAAGUUAAAUAAAAGCAUAAAACAGGCAAAAUAAACAACAAAAUAUAAAGUAGGGAGUAAAGAACUUAAAAGUCCAGGGUAAAUAGUCUGAAUGGUAGAUGAA
Non-coding RNA from Pelobates cultripes (western spadefoot toad), 6047 nucleotides. The record is from the annotation of a GenBank genome assembly. NCBI's taxonomy places the organism in Eukaryota, Metazoa, Chordata, Amphibia, Anura, Pelobatidae.